UAAAGGUGUAAGCAAGUUAUGGUCAAGUG
This 29-nucleotide non-coding RNA is filed under the name Homo sapiens (human). The record is from RNAcentral. Lineage: Eukaryota; Metazoa; Chordata; Mammalia; Primates; Hominidae.